Molecule: long non-coding RNA, 643 nt
Filed under: Coffea arabica (coffee)
Lineage: Eukaryota; Viridiplantae; Streptophyta; Magnoliopsida; Gentianales; Rubiaceae
Description: long non-coding RNA (CARA_LNC004644)
Source: RNAcentral
AGCCACCAAUUAUCAUACCACCACACCCUCCCAUUGUUAAACCACCACCCUUCAUUCCUAAGCCACCAGUUGUGCUGCCACCUUAUGUACCAAAGCCACCUAUUGUUAAACCACCGCCCUAUGUGCCAAAGCCACCUGUGGUGUUGCCACCUUAUAUACCAAAGCCACCUAUUGUUAAACCACCACCCUAUGUGCCCAAGCCGCCUAUUGUUAAACCACCACCUUACGUGCCAAAGCCACCUGUGGUGUUGCCACCCUAUGUGCCAAAGCCACCUAUUGUUGAACCACCACCCUAUGUGCCAAAGCCACCCGUCAUUUCCCCACCAUUUGUGCCAAAGCCACCUGUGGUGUCGCCACCUUAUGUACCAAAGCCGCCAGUUGUUGUAACUCCACCACCAUAUGUGCCAAAGCCACCUGUGGUUUCACCACCAUUUGUGCCAAAGCCACCUGUGGUGUCGCCACCAUAUGUACCAAAGCCACCUGUUGUUGUUACUCCACCACCAUAUGUGCCAAAGCCACCACCAACUCCCCAACCAACCCCUUGCCCACCACCCCCACCGACUCCCGUGCCAUGUCCACCGCCACCAAAGAAACCGGAGAUUUGCCCAAUUGAUACCCUCAAACUAGGUGCUUGUGUGGACUU